Molecule: ribosomal RNA, 326 nt
Filed under: uncultured eukaryote
Lineage: Eukaryota
Description: partial 18S ribosomal RNA
Rfam family: Eukaryotic small subunit ribosomal RNA
Source: RNAcentral
CCCUUAGAUGUUCUGGGCCGCACGCGCGCUACACUGAUGCAUUCAACGAGUUCCUACCUUGGCCGAGAGGCCUGGGCAAUCUUUUGAACUUGCAUCGUGAUAGGGAUAGAUUAUUGCAAUUAUUAAUCUUGAACGAGGAAUUCCUAGUAAACGCAGAUCAUCAAUCUGCAUUGAUUACGUCCCUGCCCUUUGUACACACCGCCCGUCGCUCCUACCGAUUGAAUGGUCCGGUGAAGCCUCGGGAUUGUGGUUAGUUUCCUUCAUUGGAAGUUAGCCGCGAGAACUUGUCUAAACCUUAUCAUUUAGAGGAAGGUGAAGUCGUAACA